RNAcentral lists this ribosomal RNA (210 nucleotides) under uncultured bacterium. Its description in RNAcentral is "partial 16S ribosomal RNA". It matches the Rfam family "Bacterial small subunit ribosomal RNA", at positions 1283 to 1500 of the family's 1533-position model. The record is from RNAcentral.
CUGUCUCAGUUCGGAUUGGAGGCUGAAACCCGCCUCCAUGAAGUUGGAUUCGCUAGUAAUCGCGCAUCAGCCAUGGCGCGGUGAAUACGUUCCCGGGCCUUGUACACACCGCCCGUCAAGCCAUGGGAGCCGGGGGUGCCUGAAGUUCGUGACCGCAAGGAGCGACCUAGGGCAAAACUGGUGACUGGGGCUAAGUCGUAACAAGGUACC